Long non-coding RNA from Ictalurus punctatus (channel catfish), 1088 nucleotides. The record is from Ensembl. Lineage: Eukaryota; Metazoa; Chordata; Actinopteri; Siluriformes; Ictaluridae.
CUGCAGAACUCAACAAAAAAGCCAGUGAUUGGGAGGUUUUUGUGGUUUGUGUGGGCAUUAGCCAGUGGUCAGAUAUGAAACUCACAGGACAAACAAAGACCAUGUUCAUUAACAUGACAGUGCUGCAUGACGCAUCUUUAGUAACUGCAGGGUUGUGGUGAUUUAAAUUAGGCUACUGCUUUGUUUAUCCAUUGGGAAAUAGAACCAACUAAAUUCAUUAGAACAUAUUGCAGGCAGAUACAAAUGUUUACAUUUUUACAAGUCCCAUGCUUAUCUCAAAUUGAGAGCAAUUUUGACCUGGAGCUGAGGUAGAGGUACUGUUAGAGCCAGAGUCUACAGACCAUGGCAUUUCUGAACUUUGUUCGGUGUUUUCUAGGUUUUCAUGUUUAGGCCACGCCCACAUUGGUUUAAAUCCAACUACAGAUACGGAUAUUUGGAGCGCUAAACAGAUACAGAUGGUUGCAUAGCGUUAUACCCUGAUUACAGUUAAAGGGGACACUGGCUUCAACAAGCUUCAAAAACUCCUCCUCUAAAGUCUUUGCUUUCACCUGUGGCUUGGCAUCAUUUCUCUAAUCAUGGUUAUGAGGCUGUGAGAAAAAACCUGCUGGUCUUUGACAGCUCUCCCAGUGGAGCAUUUGUGGUUAUGACUGCAGAGAGGGAAAGUGCUCUGGUUCUCAUCAAAAAUAAAUGAGAUCGAGGGGAUGACGCUCUCUGAGACCUAAAUGAAGAUAUUUUACACUUUAAACACUUCGGAGGAUCAUCUUUCUCUUCUGUGUUUAUUUUAAUAUGAAGCUGGUGAAAGAAUAAACCCAAACUGAAAAUGUUAUUCUUUGAGUUUUCCCUCUAAUCUGUGGACGAUAAACUCCAAGCUGUCAAGAAAAAACUAUUGCUGUACGUGAUAUCAUACUCAUGGUCACAGAAGAAAGACUUUGGCAAGGCUCAAACACUGUUUUGGUAUAUAACUGUAUAACUGUAUAACUGUAUAAAAGAUAGCACGUAAUAAACAUUCAAACAAAUGCAAUGUUAUUCAUAAUGCUUAAUAAUACCUGUGUUCAGAAGAGGGGCAUUUCAAUAAAAUGAGACAGAUC